RNAcentral lists this long non-coding RNA (250 nucleotides) under Apteryx rowi (Okarito brown kiwi). Its description in RNAcentral is "lncRNA (ENSARWG00000002729.1)". Lineage: Eukaryota; Metazoa; Chordata; Aves; Apterygiformes; Apterygidae. The record is from RNAcentral.
AUCUGGAUUGGCAUGAAAUGCAUCUGGAAAAUUGCAUGGAGCUGGACAUAAUUCCCUAUGAGAAAAGAAUGCAUCUGAGCGCCUGGUGAGCACCAGUGCUAGCCUGGGAUCAGACUUUCUAUGCCUGUGAAAGUGUAUGAAAGGGUGGUUCUUGAAUCAGAAACACUGGGGUGGAUCCUGGCCUCACAUGCCCUGAUGUAGGAACAGAAGGCAGUUCCAGUGGUGUAUGCUGUAAGUUCAGCAAAUCUAG